This 28-nucleotide non-coding RNA is filed under the name Mus musculus (house mouse). The record is from RNAcentral. Lineage: Eukaryota; Metazoa; Chordata; Mammalia; Rodentia; Muridae.
UGCCUCUGCUGACCAAUUCUAAACCACA